Molecule: ribosomal RNA, 467 nt
Filed under: uncultured bacterium
Lineage: Bacteria
Description: partial 16S ribosomal RNA
Rfam family: Bacterial small subunit ribosomal RNA
Source: RNAcentral
ACGCACGCUGGCGGCGUGCUUAACACAUGCAAGUCGAACGGAAAGGCCCUGCUUUUGUGGGGUGCUCGAGUGGCGAACGGGUGAGUAACACGUGAGUAACCUGCCCUUGACUUUGGGAUAACUUCAGGAAACUGGGGCUAAUACCGGAUAGGAGCUCCUGCUGCAUGGUGGGGGUUGGAAAGUUUCGGCGGUUGGGGAUGGACUCGCGGCUUAUCAGCUUGUUGGUGGGGUAGUGGCUUACCAAGGCUUUGACGGGUAGCCGGCCUGAGAGGGUGACCGGCCACAUUGGGACUGAGAUACGGCCCAGACUCCUACGGGAGGCAGCAGUGGGGAAUAUUGCACAAUGGGCGGAAGCCUGAUGCAGCAACGCCGCGUGCGGGAUGACGGCCUUCGGGUUGUAAACCGCUUUCGCCUGUGACGAAGCUUGAGUGACGGUAAUGGGUAAAGAAGCACCGGCUAACUACGUG